UACAGAGGUCUCAAGCGUUGUUCGGAUUCAUUGGGCGUAAAGGGUGCGUAGGCGGCGCGGUAAGUCGGGUGUGAAAUCUCGGGGCUUAACCGAGGAACCGCACUCGAUACUGCCGGGCUAGAGUCCGGGAGGGGAUGGUGGAAUUCCCAGUGUAGCGGUGAAAUGCGUAGAUAUUGGGAAGAACACCGGUGGCGAAGGCGGCCAUCUGGACCGGUACUGACGCUGAGGCGCGAAAGCUAGGGGAGCGAAUGGG
This 253-nucleotide ribosomal RNA is filed under the name uncultured bacterium. RNAcentral describes it as "partial 16S ribosomal RNA". It matches the Rfam family "Bacterial small subunit ribosomal RNA", at positions 524 to 776 of the family's 1533-position model. The record is from RNAcentral.